UUGAACGCUGGCGGCAUGCCUAACACAUGCAGGUCGAACGGUAACGGACCGCUGGGAUUCCUUCGGGAUGACCUUGGUGCCGACGAGUGGCGGACGGGUGAGUAAUACUUAGGAAUCUGCCCAGUAGUGGGGGACAACAUUCGGAAACGGAUGCUAAUACCGCAUACGCCCUACGGGGGAAAGCGGGGGAUCUUCGGACCUCGCGCUAUUGGAUGAGCCUAAGUCGGAUUAGCUUGUUGGUGAGGUAAUAGCUCACCAAGGCGACGAUCCGUAGCUGGUCUGAGAGGACGAUCAGCCACACUGGGACUGAGACACGGCCCAGACUCCUACGGGAGGCAGCAGUGGGGAAUAUUGGACAAUGGGCGCAAGCCUGAUCCAGCAAUGCCGCGUGUGUGAAGAAGGCCUGCGGGUUGUAAAGCACUUUCAGUAGAGAAGAAAAGCCCAGGGUUAAUACCCCUGAGUCUUGACGUAACCUACAGAAGAAGCACCGGCUAACUCCGUG
Molecule: ribosomal RNA, 502 nt
Filed under: uncultured bacterium
Lineage: Bacteria
Description: bacterial SSU rRNA
Rfam family: Bacterial small subunit ribosomal RNA
Source: RNAcentral